This 440-nucleotide ribosomal RNA is filed under the name uncultured bacterium. RNAcentral describes it as "partial 16S ribosomal RNA". It matches the Rfam family "Bacterial small subunit ribosomal RNA", at positions 355 to 787 of the family's 1533-position model. The record is from RNAcentral.
UAGGGAAUCUUCCACAAUGGACGCAAGUCUGAUGGAGCAACGCCGCGUGAGUGAAGAAGGCUUUCGGGUCGUAAAACUCUGUUAUUGAAGAAGAACGUGUGUGACAGUAACUGGUCAUGCAGUGACGGUAUUCAAUCAGAAAGUCACGGCUAACUACGUGCCAGCAGCCGCGGUAAUACGUAGGUGGCAAGCGUUGUCCGGAUUUAUUGGGCGUAAAGCGAGUGCAGGCGGUCUUUUAAGUCUGAUGUGAAAGCCUUCGGCUUAACCGAAGAAGGGCAUCGGAAACUGGGAGACUUGAGUGCAGAAGAGGAGAGUGGAACUCCAUGUGUAGCGGUGAAAUGCGUAGAUAUAUGGAAGAACACCAGUGGCGAAGGCGGCUCUCUGGUCUGUAACUGACGCUGAGGCUCGAAAGCGUGGGUAGCAAACAGGAUUAGAUACCC